AACGAACGCUGGCGGCAUGCCUAACACAUGCAAGUCGAACGAGACCUUCGGGUCUAGUGGCGCACGGGGGCGUAACGCGUGGGAACCUGCCCGUAGGUUCGGAAUAACUCCCCGAAAGGGGUGCUAAUACCGGAGAAUGUCUUCGGACCAAAGAUUUAUCGCCUUUGGAUGGGCCCGCGUUGGAUUAGCUAGUUGGUAGUGUAAAAGCCUACCAAGGCGACGAUGCAUAGCUGGUCUGAGAGGAUGAUCCGCCACACUGGGACUGAGACACGGCCCAGACUCCUACGCGAGGCAGCAGUGGGGAAUAUUGGACGAUGGGCGCAGUCCUGAUCCAGCACUGCCGCGUGAGUGAUGAAGGCCUUAGGGUUGUAAAGCUCUUUUACCCGGGAUGAUAAUGACGGUACCGGGAGAAUAAGCUCCGGCUAACUCCGUG
RNAcentral lists this ribosomal RNA (433 nucleotides) under uncultured bacterium. RNAcentral's name for it is "partial 16S ribosomal RNA". It matches the Rfam family "Bacterial small subunit ribosomal RNA", at positions 29 to 507 of the family's 1533-position model. The record is from RNAcentral.